Molecule: transfer RNA, 55 nt
Filed under: Xiphinema americanum
Lineage: Eukaryota; Metazoa; Nematoda; Enoplea; Dorylaimida; Longidoridae
Description: tRNA-Asp
Source: RNAcentral
GAUGGGGUAGUGUUCAAGAGCACAUGUAAUUGUCGUUUACAAAGGCAUCCAUUUG